UUUCAUUCUUAGGUACAUAAAGUUUAGGAUGAAAUAAAAAGUGACAGAAUGUAAAUAAAACGCACACAGAGAACGCGUACUCUGGGAGAAGCGGUGGCAGCUUUGGUACUGCAACCUGAUGGAUUGCAAAGGCAAAGUUCUGCAAUUAAGACCACACCGUUCACAUUUCCAUCUGAGACUCUUGCCGGAAGAGUAAUCCCUGCAAAGCCGGCCAAUCAAAUGCAGAGAUGUGCCCCAUCGGAUUGGCUCUGCCAAGCAGAAGCGAGAACGGGAGGAAGACUUGGCACUCAGGCCCCCACUAAGGAGAGUAUGCAGAUAUGAAAUCAGAAUAGGAAGAACCAUGGCCGCAUCACUACCAAAAUAUUAAGUGCAACUAGAGUCAAUGUGACAGACACUUCUCAGUAGGUGACAUCAAUUCCUGAUGCCCAUUUGGAGAGAUGAGGCUGAAGAUGACCUUAUGCACAUUAUGGCAGACUGCUAAAAUUGUUCAGCAAAAUUCAUUUCCUCUUCCUGAACACAAAGCUUGACUAUGCUUCCUAGGUACCAUUGCUGAUAGGUGGGUCAUGUGACUGGGUUCUCGCCAGCUGAGUCUGAAUCCAUGCGAUGUUGCCACUCUGAGGCCCGAAAGCAUUAAUGCACCCCAACUAGAGGGAGUGACUUCACAUGCCUUUUUGUGAGGUGGGAUCUCCCUCAGCCUGGCUCUUAGGAAAGCUAUCCACCAACCUGUUUACCUGUUCAUCAAUAGAGAAACUGACCAAGGUAUGAGCUUUCAUGAGGUUGUACUAUUACAAGUUGGAUCUGUUUGUCACUGUAGCCUGUGCUCAAAAUGAACACACUAAUAAAUUUGAAUAUCAUUGUGUUUACAGUG
Molecule: long non-coding RNA, 868 nt
Organism: Carlito syrichta (Philippine tarsier)
Lineage: Eukaryota; Metazoa; Chordata; Mammalia; Primates; Tarsiidae
Exons: 4
Source: RefSeq, a predicted model, not a curated record